RNAcentral lists this ribosomal RNA (253 nucleotides) under uncultured bacterium. Its description in RNAcentral is "partial 16S ribosomal RNA". It matches the Rfam family "Bacterial small subunit ribosomal RNA", at positions 524 to 776 of the family's 1533-position model. The record is from RNAcentral.
UACGGGGGGGGCCAGCGUUGUUCGGAAUUACUGGGCGUAAAGGGCUCGUAGGUGGCCAACUAAGUCAGACGUGAAAUCCCUCAGCUUAACUGGGGAACGGCGUCUGAUACUGGAUGGCUUGAGUUUGGGAGAGGGAUGCGGAAUUCCAGGUGUAGCGGUGAAAUGCGUAGAUAUCUGGAGGAACACCGGUGGCGAAGGCGGCAUCCUGGACCAACACUGACACUGAGGAGCGAAAGCCAGGGGAGCAAACGGG